GAAACAGAGUAAUCUCGCAAUUUAAAGCGCGGUGGGGGGAAGAGUGGAAAGGUGUUGCAUUAAUUACUUAAUUUCUAAUUGAAGUGUAUUACUGACCUUUAAUAAUUCGUGUGGCCAAAAUAAUUCACAUUUUUCAUAAGGCGAUCCUUUCUCACGACCAUUCUCUUGUUUCAAAAAUCCUCUUAACUGGUCCGCGUAGCUCUCGUUUUUUUUUGGUUCAUCGAGAUUAAUUUCUUGCACUCCGCUAGAUUUAUCUUUGUGAUGGAUCAACAUUCUUCUGGUCUCUCCAUAACGUAUUUCGCACACAGUCGAUGUCACUGCUUCUAGCCCCACAGGUAAAAUAUUUUCUCCCAGAAUGAGGUUUAUCAAGCUGCUUUUACCUGAACUUACUUCACCUGCACAA
Paramuricea clavata is the source of this 403-nucleotide non-coding RNA. Lineage: Eukaryota; Metazoa; Cnidaria; Anthozoa; Malacalcyonacea; Plexauridae. The record is from the annotation of a GenBank genome assembly.